GGGGAAUAUUGGACAAUGGGGGAAACCCUGAUCCAGGUAUACCGCGUGAGUGAUGAAGGCCUUCGGGUUGUAAAGCUCUUUUAGUGGGGAAGAUUUUGACGGUACCCACAGAAAAAGCACCGGCUAACUCUGUGCCAGCAGCCGCGGUAAGACAGAGGGUGCUAGCGUUAUUCGGAAUUACUGGGCGUAAAGGGCGCGUAGGCGGUUUUGCAAGUCGUUCAUUAAAGACCAAGUCUCAAGCUUGGAAGUGUGUUCGAUACUGCAUUACUGGAGUAUAGGAGAGGUAAGUGGAAUUUCUAGUGGAGAGGUAAAAUUCGUAGAUAUUAGAAGGAACACCGAGGGCGAAGGCAGCUUACUGGAAUAUUACUGACGCUGAGGCGCGAAAGCGUGGGGAGCAAAC
Molecule: ribosomal RNA, 400 nt
Filed under: uncultured bacterium
Lineage: Bacteria
Description: bacterial SSU rRNA
Rfam family: Bacterial small subunit ribosomal RNA
Source: RNAcentral